Molecule: ribosomal RNA, 378 nt
Filed under: uncultured archaeon
Lineage: Archaea
Description: bacterial SSU rRNA
Rfam family: Archaeal small subunit ribosomal RNA
Source: RNAcentral
AAACUUUACAAUGCGGGAAACCGUGAUAAGGGAACCCCGAGUGCCCGUAAAAUCGGGCUGUUCACCAGUGUAAAUAGCUGGUGGAGAAAGGGCCGGGCAAGACCGGUGCCAGCCGCCGCGGUAAUACCGGCGGCUCGAGUGGUGGCCGCUAUUACUGGGCUUAAAGCGUUCGUAGCUGGAUUGUUAAGUCUCUGGGGAAAUCUUCCGGCUUAACCGGAAGGCGUCUCAGGGAUACUGGCAAUCUAGGGACCGGAAGAGGUGAGAGGUACUCCAGGGGUAGGAGUGAAAUCCUGUAAUCCUUGGGGGACCACCUGUGGCGAAGGCGUCUCACCAGGACGGCUCCGACAGUGAGGGACGAAAGCUGGGGGAGCAAACCGG